GCCCGGGUGGCUCAGUCAGUUGAGCAUCUGACUUCGGCUCAGGUGGCGAUCUCACAGCUCGUGGAUUCGAGCCCCGCGUCGGGCU
RNAcentral lists this transfer RNA (85 nucleotides) under Felis catus (domestic cat). It matches the Rfam family "tRNA". From Rfam's summary of the family: Transfer RNA (tRNA) molecules are approximately 80 nucleotides in length. Lineage: Eukaryota; Metazoa; Chordata; Mammalia; Carnivora; Felidae. The record is from Rfam by way of RNAcentral.